Molecule: long non-coding RNA, 374 nt
Filed under: Physcomitrium patens
Lineage: Eukaryota; Viridiplantae; Streptophyta; Bryopsida; Funariales; Funariaceae
Description: long non-coding RNA (PPAT_LNC002613)
Source: RNAcentral
ACACGAAUAGAAUUAAAUUCUAGCUCUAGUAGCUCUAGCAACUCCAACAAGGCUCCAACAACUCUAGCAAUGCUCCAAUAUAGCUCUAGCUCCAGCAACUCUAGCAAGGCUCCAAUAUAGCUCUAGCAACUCCAGCAAAGCUUCAGUAGGGCUACAAUAACUUCUUGGCUUUAAUAGCAUUCCAGUAGCAAUGGAGCUCCAGUAGUAGGCAAAUCAUCCAAGUUUUCAUCCACAAAAAUAUAUCCACUUUUCAUCUAAACUAUGUUCAAUAAUACUCAUCCAUAACACUUUUCAUCCAACUCUGUUACAAAAACCAGAUGAAUAACAUUUUUUUGAAACCUAGAAUGUGCCAGAAGCCAUGGGGAGAGCAAUUC